Molecule: ribosomal RNA, 413 nt
Filed under: uncultured microorganism
Description: bacterial SSU rRNA
Rfam family: Archaeal small subunit ribosomal RNA
Source: RNAcentral
GCGCAGCAGGCGAGAAACCUCCCCAAUGCCCGAAAGGGUGAGGGGGUCACCCCGAGUGCCACCCUCGUGGUGGCUUUUGCGGGGCCUAAAAAGCCCCGCGAAUAAGGGGAGGGCAAGACGGGUGUCAGCCGCCGCGGUAAUACCCGCUCCCCGAGUGGUGGGGACUAUUACUGGGCUUAAAGCGUCCGUAGCCGGCUGGGUGUGUCCCCCGUUAAAUCCACGGGCCUAACCCGUGGGCUGCGGGGGAUACUACCUGGCUUGGGGGUGGGAGAGGGCGGCGGUAUUCCCGGGGUAGGGGUAAAAUCCUCUGAUCCCGGGGAGGACCACCAGUGGCGAAGGCGGCCGCCCAGAACACGCCCGACGGUGAGGGACGAAAGCUGGGGGGAGCAAACGGGAUUAGAUACCCCUGUAGU